UUGUGAAGGGAUCAGACAGGUAGAUGAUGAGCGUGGGUACCCUUGAUAGUGGUUACAGUGUUGGAUCGGGGUCUGGGAAGAGAUCCAGGGGCUGCAUGACUGGAAGAAACUUCAUCAUGGCAGAGAGCUGAGUCACAGCUAGCCUGAGAGUUAAGACUGCAACAGGGAAAGAGCAGUAAUAAGCCAGAGGCACUUUCUCAGGGGCUGAAGAGGACGUGGACCCCUCUAUGGAUUGUGUUUUUGUUAGGGUUUGAGAAUUGACUGAUAUAGGAGGAGGUCUGUGGAACAGGCAUGCCCUGAGAAUAAAGGACUGUAUCAUGUUUCAAGGUGAAAUCCAUACAGCCAAGCGGGUACUGGUUGUGCUUCAUGGGAGAAGCCACUGCUAAUCAUGGUAGAGAGAAAAAGAUUUGAGAACUACAGACCAUCAAGGCCCAAGAAGGAAGAAAAAAAAAAAAGAUCAUACCUUGGAGUACAGGAGGCAUACUGGUCAACAAUCCAAUUUCCGAUACCAGCCUGGCAGCCUGGACAGCUGCAUGCACCUGCACAUAAGCAACUACACUGACAGAGGAGUUUCCUCUACAGCACCCAACCUCUUGAGGCCACACCCAAGGAGACAUGAGUAUAGAUGUGGAACAAAAGGCUGAAAAAAAUACCUGACGGUGAAAAAUGGACAUUCCAGGAGCUGAGUUUUCAUUAACAGGGGCUGAUGAACCAUGGCAAAGGUGGCAAUGUCUCAACCACCUAUGCACUGGAGUUGGAUGCUCAAAGGGACUAAUGAAGAAGUGGGGCUAUAACAUUGGUUCAACUACCUGCAACUGCAGCACAGCAUCAGACUAUGCAGCACCUGCUGCGGUGCCUGCUGCUUGAAGACACAUGUACAAUGAAAGCUCUUGCAAAGUGCAAGCAAUGAGUACAAGCAUAUGUAACAAAAUUGUUAAAUGUGGUGUAGAGCCAUGAGAAAAAGAAGAAUACAGGAUGCCAGUUUUUACAUGCAUUCUGGACUCCUUUGACCAAACUGUAAAUUAUUACAUCUGGUGCUACCUGCCACACAUGUGAAAACACAUCUGUGCAUACACUACUCAUUAAACAGAGAGCCCAAUCCCAUAAAUUUACUUGAAGAAUUUCUGUUAUCAGAUCUUUUGAAUAUAUAGUUUGAAUCUUUUCAGAAGAAUCAGUCUCCAUGUAUAACAGAAAAAAUUCCAGUGUCAGUAUGUUUGUUAGUGGUUAGGUACAGUUAUGCUAUAUGAAGUUCCUGAAAGUAAGUGCUUAUUUAAGAACAUAAUCAAUUAUAUUGAGUAGUGUUUUCUUAAACUUCACAUGGCAAUAAUGUCUUCUUGUCAUUUAUAAACUAUAAAAUACAAUCCAAAAUUAAAUUUUUAAUUAUAUUCGGUAUUUCUCAGCCUACUGAUGAUACCAGCCAUCUGGCUGAAAAGUGUCGUUUACAGGCCUUAUUGUAGAUUCUCCAAGCAGUUUUCAAUCUGAUUUAAUAUAGAAUUAGUUUAAUAGGGAGGAGAGCAGUUUAAAGUCUAUUCAUAUUUUAUGCCUUGAACUGUGAGGGCCUAUUUAGGAUAUAAAUUACUGGAGGAGAGAUCCUGCAAUGUACCCUUUCUCUCAAAAUUUACUGUAGCUUUAACUGGUGAGCAUUCCUCCUAAUUUGGCCCUGUAUGUAGAAAGUCUGCAUUCACCAGUGGGAAAGGAGAACUGGAAAAAAAAAACACGUCCACGUUCCUGGCUAUCAUUGCCAAAGGGUGGUAAGCCCAGGAUGGAUCAAGCCAUAUGCUUUAUCAUUAAUAUUGAUGACAUGCUGAUUUCAUGCAAUGGCAUGUUCCUUUCCAUUACUGACUAGAGUCGGAAAUUGAGUCAGCUCAAGAAGCAAGUAGAAUCCUGAUAAGAGACUGCAUUUACAGACUGUUAUAAUACUUAUUUCUGAUGUCACUUAUGCUUGUCAGUAGCAGAUCCUAACUCAAAUGAACCAGCUAAAUCAUAAUAUCACAUGUAAUAUCUGAGCACAGGUAAAGUAUAUAAUCUUCCUUAGAGAAAUCAGAACAUCCCAUACAUCUGACUGAUUUUUUUAAUUGCUGUGGGACACUUGAUAACAAUAAAUGGCAUUUAAAUAUCCAAAUCCACAAUACUAGCUUCAGCAUCACUGCAAGUGCUUUCACACUUCUAUGCGCACAGAUUUUGCAUGAUGUCAUGCAAUAUCUGAUAUUCUUUUAGGACAGAACUGGCUUUGCCUAUUCUUCUUUUCCCUAUACUUAAUCAGAAAUUCACACU
Long non-coding RNA from Alligator mississippiensis (American alligator), 2274 nucleotides. RefSeq lists it as uncharacterized. The record is from RefSeq and is a predicted model, not a curated record. The transcript is spliced from 5 exons. Lineage: Eukaryota; Metazoa; Chordata; Crocodylia; Alligatoridae.